UGCCGAAACGCUCCUGUUCUGGAGCGUCGCGGGGUGAUUGGCCUCCCCCGCCUGAUGAUGGCAGGCCAGA
RNAcentral lists this non-coding RNA (70 nucleotides) under Paenibacillus validus. The record is from RNAcentral. RNAcentral also lists the same sequence under 1 other name. Lineage: Bacteria; Bacillati; Bacillota; Bacilli; Caryophanales; Paenibacillaceae.